CUCGCUGAUGACCACCGAUAGGACUCUACAACUGUCGAGAAAGAGGACCUGUAGCGGGAAGGGGAAAGGGAUCUUGAAAUGAGGAAAGUUCUAAUAGGCCUUCCUGAGUCUAGGCUGACAGGCAAGUAAUACACAAGAAAGAUAAUUGGAUUCAUAAUGGUUUGUUGUUUUCAGUUGAAGGAGAGUACAUGACUCUUCCACGAGAGUGGUUUCUUAGUCCUCACUCACUGAUUCGGUUACUACUUGAGAUUGCCUACAUCAGAAAGCCUUUACUACAAAAUUUAAAAUAGUGCUCAAAGUGUGAAUAUGCCUGGAAGAAGGAAUGUGAUAGCAUUAAAGCUCAGGAAUUCAACUU
Molecule: long non-coding RNA, 355 nt
Organism: Phyllostomus discolor (pale spear-nosed bat)
Lineage: Eukaryota; Metazoa; Chordata; Mammalia; Chiroptera; Phyllostomidae
Exons: 2
Source: RefSeq, a predicted model, not a curated record